UAAACAAAUAAAUUUACAAAAAAAAAGGCUCAAUGGUGCGUGGGGCCUGACAAGCCAGAUCUGAUUCCCCGGGCCACACAGGUAGGGGAGAACUGAUUCCCACAGCCAGACUUGCAUGUCAGAGAGGCCCCAGCUCCUCCCGCUUUCCUAACCCACGCUGGGGUUACAGGUUGCACUCCACCACACCUAACUUCUUAUGUGGGUACUGGGGCCUCCUCUUUGCAUAGCAAGCACUUUACCCAGGGGAGCCAUUGCUCCAGCCACGCCCCACCCCCCACCCCCAGCUAUGUAUUUUCAAGAGCUGCGUGUAGGUCGGGUAGGUGAGACGCCUGUGAGUCAGGACAGCAAGGCCUGUGCUACAGCCCACCUCUACGUAGAGCGGGCUCCCGUACCAGCCCAGGCCUUAACCGCCGUGGCCUCCCCCUCCCCCAGGCCCUUUGUUCUUCGCUACAGCUGCUCAGCAAAUUCCUUGAUUUUAAAUUAUGAUCACAGGUUGGAGAGCUACUUAAAAUAAUCUUGCCAAAUGUUCCAUCUCUGCGCUGAUGAAUACAGUGGAGGAGAAAUUUCAAGAGGGGGAGAGGAAAAAAAAAAACAUUAAGAAUUCACUUUGUUCAGGGGGAAAGGAAAAAAAAAAAAAAACAGUCACAGCUUUGGUUUACAUCUAAGGAUUCUCGCGCGCGCCCCCGCCCCGCCCCGGAAGUUGAUUGUGUGCUGACCUUCAGUGAGCCAGUGAGCCCUGUGCCAGCAAAGGUGGGAGAGGGAGCUGCUGGUGUGUAAGACCUGCUGCAGAUGCGGGGAGCAAAGAAAGGAUCCCUGGCCCUUGUUGGAGCCUCAGUUUUUUUCACCUGCUGAAUGGACACAGAUCUGUCCAACUCACUAGUUGAUUUCAAGGAUGAGACGAACCUGUCCCAUAGUCCUUGAAAGGAGUCUCUGGAGAAAUUUCUGGAAGGAGAAGACAGAAGCUACAUUUCAGCCACAUAAAUGACACGUGAUGCUGAUGUUGACGAAUGCUGCCCCACUGUUUAUUGAACACCACCAGCCCCUCUCAUCUGCUCCCUUAUUGGGUCCCAGAGCAACCUAGGAGGUUGGUUUAUUUGAUUCUGAUCUACUUUUAUUUCACAGCCAAGAAAACUGAGGCCAAAGAUGUCUGAAGUCAGAGCCAUUUAUCUUCCAUCCCCCGCAGGGGUGUCCACUGUGCCUGCCCCGGUCAUAAUGGCUUUCUGCUAAGGAUGUCACCACACCUUCUUGAUGGAGACUUGCCACCUGCCCUGGGCAACCAGCCCUUCUGAAAGCGAGCUCGAUUCCAAACUCAGGGUUAAUGAUAAAACUGAACAACGUAAGGCCUGGCCUUCCCUCUCCCUCUUUAUCAACAUGUGACUUAGGUUUGAGUGCCAAGCUAAACCUUUCAAGAGCCACAUCCUCGGCGGUGACUUAUUAAAGGGUAAAUCAAAGUUUGCUGGGAGAGAAAAGCAAAUACCCAAUACUCAGCAUGCCAGGCUGAUCCCGAGCCCACUUCCUGGUUCCACUGUUGACUUGGGCUGUAAUUCUAGAUAAGUGUGAAUACGUUCACCACCCUGGGCCCAGAGGGCAAGCCUGGGAAGAGAGCCCGGGACAGAGCCUGUCCCUGCCCCUUACACACACACACACACCAGGACCUGACAAGAAGCUGGCUCUCACGGUUUGCCUCAGAGGGGAAAACCUCAGACAAAAUCAAGGCAGGUACAGAGCUCUCUACACAGCCUCUUGUCCUUGUGUCUGUGUUUGUGAAGAAGUGGGUCACCCACAUGUCACGUCACCAAUAGAACCUUCCCGUCCUUUGGCUCUGCUCACCCAUAAUUAGCGGAACUGAGGAGGAGAGGAGCUGCACUUUGGGCCUCAGAUGGCAGGGCAGAGAAAUCAGAGCAAAGUUGACAAGAGUCAACCGUAAUCACAUAGUAAGUGUUUUUUUUUUUUUUUUUCAAAGAAACAAAUAAAAAACAGCCAGAAAGUGGGUCAGCGCUUACAGUAAGGUCAGAGGCAGGAAACUGGGACAAACUUCAAGUCCUGAGAGGAGAAACAGGAGUUGUGUUUUCUGAAUACAGACUUGUGCUAUCUUUGGGAUUUUACCCCCUGCUGAUGCUUUCUCCUUUGCCUCCUGAAUACACAGGGCCUUAGUUCCAAUACUCCAUCUUCCCAGAGGCUGAAGACAAAAGGCACUUAAAAAGACUUUACGGAGAUCCAGGCAUGGUAGUGUAUGCCUGUAACCCAGAAGCAGAGGGGGGAUCAGGAAUCAGGGGUCUUCCUCAGCUAUACAGCACUUUCCAGGGCAGCUUGGCUACAUAAAAUCUUGUCUCAAAAAAAAAAAAAAAA
This 2349-nucleotide small RNA is filed under the name Rattus norvegicus (Norway rat). RNAcentral describes it as "uncharacterized LOC102547807". The record is from RNAcentral. Lineage: Eukaryota; Metazoa; Chordata; Mammalia; Rodentia; Muridae.